UUCCGGAGGUAAAGCACUGAAUGGCCUAGGGCCCGAGAGGGUACCGAAGCCUAUCAAACUCUGAAUGCCGGAAAAUUGAUGCAUGGGAGUCAGACUAUGUGAGAUAAGUCUCAUAGUCGAAAGGGAAACAGCCCAGAUCUACAGCUAAGGUCCCAAAGCAGGUUUAAGUGGAAAAGGAUGUGGAGUUGCGAAAACAGCCAGGAUGUUGGCUUAGAAGCAGCCACUCAUUUAAAGAGUGCGUAAUAGCUCACUGGUCGAGUGACUCUGCGCCGAAAAUUCAACGGGGCUAAAACCUGCACCGAAGCUUAGGCAUCCGCAAGGAUGGGUAGGGGAGCGUUGUGUACGAGGCGAAGCAUUAGCGAAAGCGGAUGUGGAUUGUACACAAGUGAGAAUGCCGGAAUAAGUAGCGCGAAUGAUGUGAGAAUCAUCAUGGCCGAAAGCCUCAGGUUUUUGGAGGAAGGUUCGUCCGCUCCAAGUUAGCCGGGAGCUAAGGUGAGGCCGAAAGGCGUAGCCGAUGCACAUACGGUAGAGAUUCCGUAGCCGCCGAAAGAUUUAAGCAGGGGGACACAUUUGAAGUGUUGGUGCCGGGUGUUGGUUUACCCGGUCGAAAGGGACUGAAAUUUAGUAGGGAAGUCCAGCAUGGAGAGUGGCGAGAAAAGCCCUGUGUAUAUCUAAGGCGCCCGUACCGCAAACCGACACAGGUAGGUAGGAAGAAGAUUCUAAGGCCAACGGGAGAAGGGUUGUUAAGGAACUCGGCAAGUUGACCCCGUAACUUCGGGAGAAGGGGUGCUCAUGAAAGUGAGCCGCAGAGAAUAGGCCCAAGCAACUGUUUAGCAAAAACACAGGUCUGUGCUAAAUCGAAAGAUGACGUAUACGGGCUGACACCUGCCCGGUGCUGGAAGGUUAAGGGGAUGUGUGCAAGCACUGAACCGAAGCCCCAGUAAACGGCGGCCGUAACUAUAACGGUCCUAAGGUAGCGAAAUUCCUUGUCAGGUAAGUUCUGACCCGCACGAAUGGUGUAAUGAUUUGGGCACUGUCUCAACAGCCCGCCCGGCGAAAUUGUAGUACCGGUGAAGAUGCCGGUUUCCCGCGACAAGACGGAAAGACCCCAUGGAGCUUUACUGCAGCCUAAUAUUGGGUUUCGAUAUUACAUGUACAGGAUAUGUGGGAGACAUGGAAGCACGGGCGUCAGCCUGUGUGGAGUCAGCCUUGGGAUACCACACUUGUGAUAUUGGAAUUCUAACCUGCGGCCCUGAAUCGGGUCGGGGGACAUUGUUAGGCGGGCAGUUUGACUGGGGCGGUCGCCUCCGAAAAAGUAACGGAGGCGUUCAAAGGUUGGCUCAGCUUGGACGGAAACCAAGCCAAAGAGUGCAAACGCAUAAGCCAGCCUAACUGCGAGACUGACGGGUCGAG
RNAcentral lists this ribosomal RNA (1413 nucleotides) under human gut metagenome. RNAcentral describes it as "bacterial LSU rRNA". It matches the Rfam family "Bacterial large subunit ribosomal RNA", at positions 894 to 2393 of the family's 2925-position model. The record is from RNAcentral.